GGGGAUGUGGCUUAGUGGUAGAGCUCUUGCCUUGCAUGCACAGGGCCCUGGGUUUGAUCCCUAGCACCA
Molecule: transfer RNA, 69 nt
Filed under: Cavia porcellus (domestic guinea pig)
Lineage: Eukaryota; Metazoa; Chordata; Mammalia; Rodentia; Caviidae
Rfam family: tRNA
About the family: Transfer RNA (tRNA) molecules are approximately 80 nucleotides in length. Their secondary structure includes four short double-helical elements and three loops (D, anti-codon, and T loops). Further hydrogen bonds mediate the characteristic L-shaped molecular structure. tRNAs have two regions of fundamental functional importance: the anti-codon, which is responsible for specific mRNA codon recognition, and the 3' end, to which the tRNAs corresponding amino acid is attached (by aminoacyl-tRNA synthetases). tRNAs cope with the degeneracy of the genetic code in two manners: having more than one tRNA (with a specific anti-codon) for a particular amino acid; and 'wobble' base-pairing, i.e. permitting non-standard base-pairing at the 3rd anti-codon position.
Source: Rfam by way of RNAcentral